RNAcentral lists this unclassified non-coding RNA (151 nucleotides) under uncultured fungus. RNAcentral's name for it is "sequence contains ITS1". Lineage: Eukaryota; Fungi. The record is from RNAcentral.
GAACUGCGAUACAUACUAUGUAUUGUAGAAUUCAGUUUAGCCGGUGAGUAUGCCUGUUUCACAACGCCGUGGCGAUUUAACGUCGCCGAUGAUGGGCCUUGCCUGAAAUUUAAUUGGUAUCAAAUCAGGUAGGACUACUCGUUGAACUUGA